UCCUCCCUCUGGCGGCGUGCUUAACACAUGCAAGUCGAACGGAAAGGCCCUGCUUUUGUGGGGUGCUCGAGUGGCGAACGGGUGAGUAACACGUGAGUAACCUGCCCUUGACUUUGGGAUAACUUCAGGAAACUGGGGCUAAUACCGGAUAGGAGCUCCUGCUGCAUGGUGGGGGUUGGAAAGUUUCGGCGGUUGGGGAUGGACUCGCGGCUUAUCAGCUUGUUGGUGGGGUAGUGGCUUACCAAGGCUUUGACGGGUAGCCGGCCUGAGAGGGUGACCGGCCACAUUGGGACUGAGAUACGGCCCAGACUCCUACGGGAGGCAGCGGUGGGGAAUAUUGCACAAUGGGCGGAAGCCUGAUGCAGCAACGCCGCGUGCGGGAUGACGGCCUUCGGGUUGUAAACCGCUUUCGCCUGUGACGAAGCGUGAGUGACGGUAAUGGGUAAAGAAGCACCGGCUAACUACGUG
This 468-nucleotide ribosomal RNA is filed under the name uncultured bacterium. RNAcentral's name for it is "partial 16S ribosomal RNA". It matches the Rfam family "Bacterial small subunit ribosomal RNA", at positions 36 to 507 of the family's 1533-position model. The record is from RNAcentral.